AGCGCGUAGGCAGAUUCGUUGGAUGAGAUGCUUUUGGGAAGAUUCCUUGUUGUUAUUGGAAUUGGCGUAAAUACUGUUCUUGUUCUGCUAUAUAUCUCUGAGGUGGCGAACAAUGCUUUUAUGUUGCAUGUGUACCUGGUGUUCUUAUUGUUGGGAUGCAAUUUGCUGUUGAGAGUCUCUGCUGGCUUGCCAAGGUCGGAAGGUUUGAUGAUGCCCAAAAAGUUGUGGAGAACCUUUGAGGACCUUCUGAAGUGGAUAAGUCCAUGGAAGAGAUUAAAGCCAUUGUUGUAAAUGAUGAUUCACAGGCCAGCUGGUCAGAACUUCUGGUGGAACCCCACAAUAGAGGCACUUUUAUUUAUCAGGAUAUACUUUUCCCUUUGACCCUUUACUCAUUUCUUCUGGUUUAAAGGGAACCAAAUGAUAUCAUGCUUAUGAAGUACAAUGACGAGGUGCAUGUUCAUACAUUUGUAUGUGCGUGCACUUGUUUGUUGAACUGCAAAUGCAUGUCUAUGUGUGCCAUGAGACAUCCAUCAGAUGUGUUCGUACUUUAACAGCCUUGUACCUGAUAACUUGUUAUUUGGGGCACUAAGUUGCUAUGCCUCUUUUUAUAGCGAUGAGUAACUGAGAGGUACUGUUGUAGCA
Phragmites australis (common reed) is the source of this 642-nucleotide long non-coding RNA. RefSeq lists it as uncharacterized. The record is from RefSeq and is a predicted model, not a curated record. The transcript has 3 exons. NCBI's taxonomy places the organism in Eukaryota, Viridiplantae, Streptophyta, Magnoliopsida, Poales, Poaceae.